This is a long non-coding RNA of Aplysia californica (California sea hare), 4124 nucleotides long. RefSeq lists it as uncharacterized. The transcript is spliced from 2 exons. Lineage: Eukaryota; Metazoa; Mollusca; Gastropoda; Aplysiida; Aplysiidae. The record is from RefSeq and is a predicted model, not a curated record.
CUCUCUCUCUCUCUCCCCCCCCUUCUCUCUCUCUCUCUCUCUCUCUCUCUCUCUCUCUCUGUUACAUGACCAUUUACAUCAAUAUUUCCGCGAGGAGUACGGACGAUGAGAGAGGUUCGUGGUGGCUGGUUGAGCAAACUGGGAGUGGUGGGUUUUUGUUUUGUUUUUCGUUGAUUUUUGUUGAUUUUUGGAUGGGGUGAUGUUUUUUCCUUAUUUAUGCUACCCGUUGAACUUGAAGCCAAGCAGCAGGUGAGAAGCCUGUCGUAUUGUACGGCUCGGAUAUUACUGCAUACAUAUUCUUCUCUCUGUCCUCGUGUGUGUGUCCACUGCGCGCUCCAGCGUCUUGUGAUUUUUACGCCUGCCCCAUUUUCUGUUGUGCCGAGACAAUUUUGGUUUUUGCCUCGUCGUUUUUGUUUCCUCACUUAUUUGUGUCCUCUCGGUUAAUUGAUCAAUUUUUUUAAUGUCGUGAAAGGAGCUGUUGCUUGACACAGAGUGUCGAGUUUCUGUCCCGACUGAUGUCUGGACAGAUCGUGUCCUUGACUUUGGUGUCGUGUGUUUUUCGUAGGUGCGGCAGCCUUGGUUGUAGACACUUACACCCCCCCCCCUCUCUCUCUCUCCUUAUCUCUCUCUCUCUCUCUCCCGCCUUGUUGGUGGGUCGAGUCUUGUUUUUAUAGUUGAAAAAAAACAAGUGUGUUGACCUUUAACCUGAGACCAAGUGAAGAAGCUUGAUGGAACAUGCGAGAGUUUUGUGAAUGUGUGUGUGUGUGUGGAUCGAGUGUUUUGCCGGGUUCUGUGGCUGUAACAUUUUGACUUUGAUCCUAAUGCUCAUCGUGUCGUCGUUUUGUCCCCUCUUUGUUCCACGUCGCGGACCAGUGCGUGUGUUGCUCCGUGCGGUGAGGUGAUCGUGCCGUUCACAGAUUAGUGGCGUUUGUCAGUAGGGUAAUAGUGGUGGCAUGAUUUGUCCAGGCUUUGUCUUGUGUGGGUGCAGGGCUUGGGUCCGUGGUACUCGACAGUUGGGUGGUUAUGUGGCCAGGGACUAGGACAGAAGGGAAAGGUGUUUGGGAAAGGAAAGAGGAAUUGAGAGUCACGGAAUUGAUGAUAAUAAUAAGGCCAAGAACGAUGCUUCGUUAAAGUAAAGAUAAUUAAUUUGAUUUUUUAAAUCUGGUAGACCUAUGAGAUUUACUGUUUGUUUCUGAUAAUGGCCACUGAUUUGUCUUUGAGAAACAGAAAGGGUUUUUUUCUUAAUGUAGUUCAUCUUAUUAUAGUUGUUCUUAUUGUAGUUCAUCUUCCUGUUGCAAGUUGCGGCAUUGAGUCGUGUUUAUGUUAGAGAGACGACAAAGAUAAGGAGAGAGAGUGAACUGUGGGUGGAAAGAAAUCGUGUGAAGGAAGACGCAAGUCUUGGACGUACCAGUGUCGUUGUGUGUGUGUCGUUGUGAAAAGUUGCUGUAGUUGUGUGUAGCUGUGGCUGAAACCUUCAGCUUCCGGCGAGUGGGUUUGUACGUGUUAAUGCAUUCACUAUUGGCUCUCAUUUUUAUUUUUUUUUAAUGUCAUGAAAUUUGUACAGGAUGGUUGGAUGAUAGUAACAUUUUGUUGUGAUGGUUGGAUGAUAGUAACAUUUUGUUGUCUGUUGUCACUUUUGAAAAAUGUUAUUUCUUGUUUUGAGCUCCCGGGGGAACAUUCAGGUUGCUUACUGAGGAGGGGAAUUUUGCCGGGGAAAGAAAUGAGGGGAAAUUAUUGAUGUGCAUGCUACGUGUGUACUCCGAGGAAAGCUGACACGGUCAGAGCGGGGGAAGAACAGAAUCUUGCUUUUGUUUGUCCUCUCAGAAUGAUCUAGAAAUGUGUUGGGAGUGUUUGUGUUAAGAACUAUCGAGAAAUGUGAUGGGAGUGUUUGUAUUAAGAACUAUCGAGAAAUGUGAUGGGAGUGUUUGUAUUAAGAACUAUCGAGAAAUGUGAUGGGAGUGUUUGUUUUAAGAACUGUCAAGAAAUGUGAUGGGAGUGUUUGUAUUAAGAACUGUCAAGAAAUGUGAUGGGAGUGUUUGUAUUAAGAACUAUCGAGAAAUGUGAUGGGAGUGUUUGUAUUAAGAACUGUCAAGAAAUGUGAUGGGAGUGUUUGUAUUAAGAACUAUCGAGAAAUGUGAUGGGCGUGUUUGCGUUAAGGAACUAUCGAAACAGGUGGGUUAUUGUAGCUCUUGAUUUUUUGUAAUCUUUUUAUUUUUGCGUUGCAGAAGCAUACUCUCUUUACUUCACAAAUAACCUUUGGGGUCAGAGUAGAGAGUGCCAGUGUGCUAAAAAACAAAAAGUAGCGUAUGUCUCCACCGGAGUUGAGGUGUGGGUACACUACUGUUACAGGGGAGAGAGGGGGGGGGGGGGCAUGCUCCUAUGUUCUGCACAUGCUUUAACUUGCCGUGAUUUGGUCUGGACGGAAUGUGCAAGCGUGUAGACAUGAGCUGUGCUGGACUCUAUACACACACCUUUUUUUUUUUCUUUUUUUUUGGUGAGCUUUUACGUUUCUGUAUCAUAAUACAAGAUAUAUAUAUAUCUAUGUGCUUAUAAUUUAAGGAAAUGUCUUGCAAUAAUAUGAGAAAGUGAAUGCGUUGUUUGUUGAGGGGGCUCUUGUUGUGUGCGAGGGGAGCACGUACAAUUUUCUGUUUCUGUGAGCCUGGGUUUUGGGGGUCAUUUGUUUCAGUAUGGUUCUUUUUUAAGGGUUUUUUGGUGUUUUUGUUGGGGGUUUUUUGGUUUGUUUUGUCCGUGGCGAAAACUAAAAAAGAAAAACUGACACAAGUUCAUUCCAUGUUUGCGAUGGUAAACGUUGUUUUUGUCAGUGAGAUGGUGGGGAGGGUGAGGGAGGGAGGGGGGGAGGGAGGGAGGGGUUUGUUGGUGUGAUUGAAUGUGUUAUUUUUGUGAAUUACUUCAUGUGCAGAUUGAUUGCAUGUAGAUGUCUGUACUUGUACAAAGUACCUUUUUUUUUAUUUGGACUCAAAAAGUGCAAUGUGAAAAUUGUGCUUCUCAUAUAAUACUUUUUGUCUUUGCCUUUCAUGAUGGUGAUCGGAAUAGCAAAAUUAUCCUAUAGAUCAUGUUACCUCUUGUACUAAAUGAACGUAUUGUUUAUUUUGUAUAGAAAUGUAUCGAGUUUCGAGUAUCCUUUUUUUUUUUUCUUUUUUUUUUUUCUCUCAAACUUCUGAGUAAAUUAUUAUUGGCCAGGUGAAAUGGAAAACAUGUAGUCAGUUUCUGUGUGUGACAUUAUUUUCCCUUGUUUUCGAACAAAAGAAGUCUUUCUUGAAGGUGGGCGAAUAUAUCGUUGGUGUAAUAGCUGUACUUUUGCCUGAAAAUUUCCAUCAAAUAAAUUUUUUUUUUUCUCUUAUAAUUGGUUUGUCAAAAGAUGACUUUGACCACUGUUGAUUUAGAUAUUUUCAAUCGUCUAUAUAUAAAUAUCUUGUUGAACUUUUUGUCAAAUGGUCUUAGUGCGUGUCUUGAAACUAGAAAUGUUUUUGUAUUGUAAGUGGGUUUGGUUUGUUUUUUUGCUCAUUGAGCUUAUUCAAGUUCUUGUAGAUAUAGGUAGACUGACACUGAUCAUGUACAUUCUUUUUAUACUAGGAGAAAAGGUAUAGGUAGACUGACACUGAUCAUGUACAUUCUUUUUAUACUAGGAGAAAAGGUAUAGGUAGACUGACACUGAUCAUGUACAUUCUUUUUAUGACAGGAAAAAAAGUAAAGGUAGACUGACACUGGUAUUGUUAAUUCUUUUUGUACCAGGAGAAAAAGUAUAAGCCUACCCAAAAGAUGGUGGAAUUGUUUUGGGUUGGUUUUUUCGUUUUUUAAAUCUAGAUUUAUCUUUAAUCUUUUUGAGAAAAAUUUGUUAAUGUUACGGACUGGUGGCUGUUUAUUUGACUUUGGGUUAAUUUGUCUUGCUAGUUGUUGUACUCAGAAAGUAGUGGAGUUGAUGAAGAAGAUGAGAAAAGGGGAUCCGUUUUUUGUAGUAGGGCUGUGUCCACUUUGGCAGAGGGUUGGGUUGUUGUUGUUUUUUUUGGGGGGGGGGGGUUCAGGAAGACAUCAACCGAACACAUGUCAUACUUUGUCCUACCAUUAAAGCAAACGACAAAUCAAAUUUGUGAUGGUGGACUUUU